AAUAAAUCUUUAAUAAAUCUUUGUGUAAAUGAUCUGGUACUAUACUACACUUGAGCUAUUAAAAGAAUGAGAGAGCUAUAACUAGAAACACACUUGUGAGGUAUUAAAAGGAUAAAGCUAAAUAUACAUAAUUUUUAUAUUUAAAAAAUUCAUAAUGGAAUGAUAAGGUAAUGGUAUAUUGCAUCAAAAAAAAAAAAAAAA
Camellia sinensis is the source of this 201-nucleotide non-coding RNA. Lineage: Eukaryota; Viridiplantae; Streptophyta; Magnoliopsida; Ericales; Theaceae. The record is from RefSeq and is a predicted model, not a curated record.